UUUUUUUUUUUUUUUUUCCCUUUUUGAACACAGAAUCCUCAGUUGUUUGUUAAAAUAUUUAGGUGCUUAAAAAAAAAAAAGUAUAAAAGGAUAUCAGCAGUGUGACUUGUUCCUGUGUUUUUCCUGCUCUCCCUUCGAAAGGAUCACAAAGAAUAUAGACAUGGUGUAAAUCUCUGUUCAGAAAUAAAUAAUCUCAUUAGGGGUUUUAUUUGCUUAUCCAGCAUGGGAGCUGUGUGGAUUAUUAAGGUUUUCCGCUUUGGAUCGAAGGCUAAGGGUGAUAUUUUACAUUAUAUUGAAAUAAUUUAUUAUCUUGCUUGGUUUUUUACUAAUAACCCGCAGUUUUUGGCACUGAAUGGAGUUUUAAAUGUCCAAUUUCCUUUAAACCCUGCAUCUAAUUUAUUGUUUGCAUUGCACUAAUUUUAGGCAGCUAAAUGAGACUGAGCAGCUCUGCCUUUAUUUCUGCUUAUUUUUAUUUUUGGCUCUAGAGUACUCGGGCUGACACUUUUCUCUUUAGUUUUAAAAUGAUGCAGAGCAAUGUCUUACUCUGUAUCUUUUUUAUACACUUGGAACAGACAUUUCACCGAUUUUCAUUUUUUUAAAUGCCAUGAGAAUGGCAUCAUUCAUCCUAGACUUCAUAUAUGAAAUGUAAACCUCAGAGGGAAGUCUUAUAUUCACAGCAGUGUAUAAAGCAUUAUCAUACUUUGGUGAUUAUUUAAAGGGCAAAAUAAAUUAAAUAGCUGCAAAAUAACAGCUUUCAUAACAACUCCUUUUACAACAAGAGAAAUAGAAAUGUUUACCUUGAAUUCACUCGAGUGUCCUUUGAAGCUGAUCCUUCAAUGAAAAAGAAAUUUGAGAUUUAACAGACCUGAAUAUAGAUAAAAAUCUAGAAAAAUAUGGAAUUGUGGUGCCUAUUUCUAGCAAGAAGAGCUGUGUGUUUUCCAACAAAGCACACCUUGGCCGUGCAUCCAGCAUUUGCUCUCUUUUCCACCUCGGGAUAUUCUUGAUUUAAUGUCGUUUUAGGGAUUGCUGCAAUCCUAAAAAAAUUACAUUGCAACAACAUUACCCGACCAUGGUACUCCCAAAGAUUUUGGAAUUCUGCAUCUGAAAUGAGCAUGCUCAUUGCAAGUCCCUGUGUGCUGACAUUUCUUGGAUCAAAUGUCUAAUAUCCUAACAAAAUAUUUGAUGAGUGUGAAGAGAUGUAUUUUUUAGUUCAGAUGUUGGAAUAGCAGAAGGUGCUGGGGCCAUUUAACCCCAGGAAUUCCCUUCAGUUGUGAAGUGAGUAAUUCUGCAAUAUUCAGAAAAGUCAAAUAAAGGGAUGAAGGACUGGCAAUAACUGGAGGGAAGGGUUGUUGCAUUAAGAGGCUGGAAUAGGAUGCAGGACCCAAAGUGGUAUCCAAGAUUGCCUUUGUGAAUUUGAGCAAGACACUUAAUCUAAAUCUCACUUUUCAAUCUGUAAAAUGGGACUGACAGGGUUUCCUCUGCUAUUGAGAUACCUGGACAGACAGGGAUCAUCCCAGCUCCUCUGCAUCCCUCCCUCCUCUUCCCCCAUCCCAGCCCUCAUGGCUGUUUGCCACCUCUCACAAAUAGAAAUGUAUCCCCCCCAACAGCCUGCUUGGGAAAUGGGUUUCCCAAAUAUGACAGAGGAUAUUUUUGUCUGUGUU
Taeniopygia guttata (zebra finch) is the source of this 1661-nucleotide long non-coding RNA. Lineage: Eukaryota; Metazoa; Chordata; Aves; Passeriformes; Estrildidae. The record is from Ensembl.